UUUGAACGUGCAUGUACACGCAAAAAAAAAAAAAAAAAAAAGAAUGAAAGAAAGAAAAAAGAAAGUCUAAGCGUGCAUGCACACACACAAGCAUGCGCGCACACACUUCACAGAGGCUGUGUGAGAGCCAGAAUGCAGAGCCCGAGGGCUGUUGUGUCUCUGAUGUUUGUAUUGUUUACUCUGUUGUCCCAGUGCAUGUAGGAGAUUGUUGCCCACUUAGGCCUCACUCUAGCCUUGUAUUAUUUACUAUGACUGGUGCGGACAGCAGGUUACUGUCCAGGAGAGCUGAAAGGCCAAGCAAAGAGAAGGGGGAAUAAAAAAGCUGGAGAUCGAAGGAGACAGAAAGAGAUCAUUGACUGUCUUUUCCCCCUAUAUUUGUUCACAUACUGCUUCUCUCUGCUUUUCAGUUUGUCUUUGAUCCCUUCUCCUCAAACUUCUGCCCCCUGGGUCACCAGCUGACAGACAACGAGAGGAGGGUGCCGCCUCUUUUCUUAUCCACUCUUCUCUCGCUUUUUUUGCUGUUUGGGAUACGUAGCGUUUUGCAGCCGGGGAACCAUUUGGGAACCCCAGAGUUUGAGCUCACCUUGAAGACAACAUGAAUCUCAAAGAUCAACAUCAGAAGUUAAAGGAACCUGCGAUGAAGAUGUUAUUUCCCAGGGAUUGGCCACUCGACUCUGCCAGCCAAACUGCUGCAGUAACCUUGACAGGAGCUGACCUCUGUGAUUAUAAUCCUUCUAUUCUCAUCCACAGCGUCUGUGCAAUCCUGGGGAGCUUCCCAAGAUCUGACAUCCUCAGCUGAGCCUGUCCUCCUGUGGGAUUUUUCAAGGCUUGAUACCACAGGACUAUCAGGUACAAUUUUCCCCAUGAUAUGAUGUUUGAAACUUUACAGGUCCAUUGAAACUAUAUACAUAUAUACUGAAUAUAUGUCUCUGUGUGAGGUGGGGAUAAUCCCUUGAUCUCCUUCAGAAGGUCCCAGCAACAUGCCAAUGCUGACUUUGGCUAGAAGAGCCAGGACAGCUCAGGCGCCAAGGGAGUCUCAUUCCACUCAUGUGGUGCCAGCACUUAAACAAACAGGGUCAGCUUUCAAAGACAAAGACUGGACAUGGAUCCACUGGACUCUCAGGCAAGUACUCUGAUUCAGUCUAUUCAUAAAUCUGUCAGUCUCUCUCAACACAGAGGCACAUUCAAAGCAGGGGUUGAGGAUGGGGUGGGCGUUUGUUUCAUCUAAGCACCAGCACUGCUCGCUUUAAAGUGCCAUUUGUUGUCUUUCUUGUGAUUACUUUUUUUUUUUUGCAAUGAACGUAUGGAAUAAUAAGUGCUGCAUUUGAAACAUUUCGCAUCUUUGAAAUGAAAUUAUGCUUUGACAUUUUCCUGGUAAUUCUUUUUCCCUGCUUCUCAUUUAUAUACAUAUUUUCACUCAAUAACGUCGUCUCUGCUCUUACCUUGGACCUCAAUUAUCAUCUUGAGAGUUUCUAAAUCCUACAUUAGACAAAUGGCAAUUGACUCUUUUCUGUUGCCUAUAAUAGAAGUAGCAUUGUGAAGCUGCAAAUGAGAUAGAGUUCAGACAUUAGUAUUCUGUUAAUUUGACCCUAGGCGCCUCAGUGCAAUCAGAUCUGAAGCCAAAGCACUUAGCCUAUGCUAAGGAUUAAUGACGGCCAUCUAAAACAAUU
This is a long non-coding RNA of Haplochromis burtoni (Burton's mouthbrooder), 1670 nucleotides long. RefSeq lists it as uncharacterized. Lineage: Eukaryota; Metazoa; Chordata; Actinopteri; Cichliformes; Cichlidae. The record is from RefSeq and is a predicted model, not a curated record. The transcript is spliced from 5 exons.